This 305-nucleotide ribosomal RNA is filed under the name uncultured bacterium. RNAcentral describes it as "bacterial SSU rRNA". It matches the Rfam family "Bacterial small subunit ribosomal RNA", at positions 337 to 640 of the family's 1533-position model. The record is from RNAcentral.
UCCUACGGGGGGCAGCAGUGAGGAAUAUUGGUCAAUGGGAGAGAUCCUGAACCAGCCAAGCCGCGUGAGGGAAGACGGCCCUAUGGGUUGUAAACCUCUUUUGUCGGAGAACAAAACCCGGGACGUGUCCCGGACUGCGUGUAUCCGAAGAAAAAGCAUCGGCUAACUCCGUGCCAGCAGCCGCGGUAAUACGGAGGAUGCGAGCGUUAUCCGGAUUUAUUGGGUUUAAAGGGUGCGUAGGCGGUCUGUUAAGUCAGCGGUAAAAUUGCGGGGCUCAGCCCCGGCGAGCCGUUGAAACUGGCAGG